GUGGCGGAAUGGUAGACGCGACGGUUUCAAAAACCGUUACCUUUCGGGGUGUGAGGGUUCGAAUCCCUCGACA
Molecule: transfer RNA, 73 nt
Filed under: Caudoviricetes sp.
Lineage: Duplodnaviria; Heunggongvirae; Uroviricota; Caudoviricetes
Description: tRNA-Leu
Rfam family: tRNA
About the family: Transfer RNA (tRNA) molecules are approximately 80 nucleotides in length. Their secondary structure includes four short double-helical elements and three loops (D, anti-codon, and T loops).
Source: RNAcentral